This is a long non-coding RNA of Macadamia integrifolia, 6145 nucleotides long. RefSeq lists it as uncharacterized. The transcript is spliced from 4 exons. The record is from RefSeq and is a predicted model, not a curated record. NCBI's taxonomy places the organism in Eukaryota, Viridiplantae, Streptophyta, Magnoliopsida, Proteales, Proteaceae.
UGUUGGAGAGGAUUUUUUUCCAAACCUGAGGGGCUUAUCCAUAUGUCUAACGUCUGAAAUGUCCACGUCAUCAGUCUACAGUUCAAACAAAGUAGUCCGCCUAUUCUAUUCUGCUCGCUUGGAGUUUAAACUGCAACUGCAACCCCUCAGCUCGCCGUUGACGUCUCUCCGCGCUCUUGAAUAUGUUAGUUGUGGGUCAUGAUCCUUCACGCCUACGCAAACCUUCCACAGCAUUGGUUUCAGUUCGUUCGAGCUCCCUAGCAUCCAUUCCUUUGAACAUCAUCCCUUCGUUCCAACGGUGCGAGUUGUUAGGUUGCAGAAGCCGUGGAUUCCUUGUACUCGGAGUUCAAAUCCGUGGAUAAUUUGGUGGCGCACCAUACCAACCGUGUUCUUAAAGCUUACUAGAUUUCUCGGGUUGGAUCUCAUAUUUUGGCAGUUGCUGGUAAUCCUUAUGACAUGCCAGAGGAUGUUAUUGGAAUUACGGACUCUCAUGGACUUGGUUCCCUGAAAGAUUUUGAGGUGAAAUACUGAGAAGUUCUAGUUAAUUACUUAUAAUGCUAAAAAAUUUUGGGGUGCCUCCAAACUUUGUGUCGGUCUUCUCCCUUUCUACUUUCCCCUUUUAUCUCUGACAUGUCACAGCUUGCAGAAGAUGGUGGGCUUGGCUGAAAUGCACUUACCAUUGCUUUGAGGCCUAUAACACAAGGUGCUCAUACAGAGGUCAUGUGGUUAUUCAUGGUGCCAUAGUUUAAGUGCAAAUAAGAUAGGGAGAGCAAUAAACAUGAUCAAGGUGACACUUUUUGACUUGGGGUUUUAUAUAUGCUUAAAUUCUUGCUUUUAUUUAUAUUUUGUUUCCCAAUAGAACUUGUUUGUGAAAGGCUACGAUGGUAGGUCAUGAAGUGGGUUACUGCAGGUUGGGGUAUUGGAUGGGGAUGUGGCUGAUGCACCACUUCUUAAUUUUUGUACGUGCAUGCUAUUCUCUAGGUUUUAAGAUUACAUACCGAGUCAGAAGUGAUGAUGGUGGAACUAAUUUGACUUAGAAUGGAGUGAUUAAAUAUUUCUAAUGUUUAAAGUCUUAUUGAGUUCUAAAUACUUAGUUUAAUUGAGAAUCGUUUGAGAGUUCUGUUAGAAUCCAUCUGCAUAUUCUAGUUCUCUGUCUACCUUCUCACUUUGACUGAAUUUAGUAAGCAUGUGAAGAAGUCACGAUGCCUCUAGGGUUAUAUGUCUAUCGUAGUGGAAAAUGUCAUUGAGGAAAAAAGAAAAAAAGAAUAGAGAAAGUUCUCUUGCAGCCUGUCAGUGCAAUCAACUUUUCCUUUUUCUGUUUCACUUUUCUGUCCCUGUUUGGUCUUCACUGGUUACUUAAUUGAUGUUCUAGCCCUUUGCUCUUUUAUUUUUCAAUGAAUAACUGAAUUUACUGAUUGAACAAAAAGAAUAUAAAGCAACCAGACUCAUUAAGGGGCCCAAAGAAGCACAUACAAGGAGCCAAUCAAGCCAUUACUUUCCCCGAGAGAGCUAGAAAGGAAAUAAAAUCGUGGAAUCCAUGGCAUUACACUCUUUGCUUUGGUAAAUAAUUAGCAACCUCAUUAACUGUCCUACAUUUCCACUGGAAUGAAAUGUUUAUAUGAUCAGUGAUGUUAAAUUAUUUUACCGAUUUAAGUUGUAAUACAUGACACAUGUACCAUGGGGGUAACAUAUGUGUCAUGUACUUUUCUCCUUGUACGAUAUUAGUUAGUCUUGAGUCUGUUUUACUUUUUAGUUAGUCUUCUAGUCUAUUUAUGUUUCCUAUUAUAGGUUUGUUUUAGUUUCCUAUUUGUAAUACAACUCCUUAUUACAUAACAGACAAAGGGAUGAGGACAAAACCUUACCCGACUCUAUUUUGCUAUUACAAGCAGAGCCUUCUUCUCAUCCAUCAUCUCCCUCUUCUCGUCAUCUUCUUCUUCUUCUUUCUCUUCACAUUAUUGGUUUUCUGGUAUCACCUAGAGCUUGGGUUGACAAGUUCAGUUCUAUAAUCACUCAAUGUCGGUUUUCAAAUGCUAUUCUGAUCAUUUUGUAUUUGUUUGUCGCCAAGGAUCUAAGGUGGUUGUAUUGGUUGUUUAUGUUGAUGACAUUUUAAUUUUUGGAAAUAAUGAAUCCAGAAUUACUAAAGGGAAGGUUUAUCUAUAUCAACAUUUUCAAAUGAAAUAUUUGGGUACCCUCCUUUCUUGGCAUGGAAGUUCUACAGAGUAAGAAAGGAAUUAGUCUUUCACAAUAGAACCAUGUGUUAGUCCUAUUAUCUGAGACUGGUAUGCUUGCCUCUAAACUAGUUGAUACUUCUAUAGAUCCUCAUCAGAAAUUUGGCACUACUGACGGUGAAGAUUUUGAUGAUAAACACAGAUAUAGAAGACUAGUGGGGAAAUUGAUUUAUUUGACUAUUACUUGACCUGACAUCUUUUGCAAUUGGGGUUGUUGGUUAGUUUAUGCGGUCACUGAAGAAGAUCCACUGGGAUGCAACUUGUUGGAUCUUGAGGUAUCUGAAGGGGGACCCCAAGGAAGUGGCUCAUUUAACCUCUUAAGAAUAUUGAUCUGGUAAGAUAUUUUGAUGCUAAUUGGGCUGGUGCUGAUGGUGACAAGAGAUCUACUACUGGAUUUUGGACAUUCGUUGGUUGUAAUCUAGUAACGUGGUGUAACAAAAAGCAUACCAUUGUGGCUAAAUCUAGUACAAAAGUUGAGUAUAGAGCUAUGGCCCAUACUGCUGCUGAGUAAUGUGGUUAUGUUCUCUUCUUCAAGAGUUGGGGUUUCUUGUUCCACAUUCUAUAAAGAUGUAUUGUGACAAUCAAGCUGCUAUCUACUUCAUAAGAAACCCUGUGUUUCAUGAGAGGACGAAACAUAUCGAGGUUGAUUGUCAUUUUGUGUGAAAUGUUGUCAUGAAGAAGUUGAUUAUUGCACCAUUUGUUUCCUCUUCCACACAGCUGUAGAAACGCAACCCCAAAAUGAUGCAGAAGAAAUGGGAAACCAAGAACAAACAAUCACACAAUGCUUACAGAUUUAUGUGGUUUGGCUAGAUGUGCCUACUUCCACGGUGUUAUGGGAUCCUGCUUCACUAUCAAUGGAGAAUAGGGUUAAAAUACUCAUCCUCACACCUCUCUUAGCUUGUUUACGGAGAAAGAAACUCGCUACAAAUAUAUAGCGAAACCCUAUAUAGAAAAAUUACAAAAAUACCCAUAUAGCCUUUGAACAUUUUCUGCUUUUGCCACAGAUGGAAUUCAAGACAUCAUAUCCCCAACAUCAGCUUGGUGAUAUGUUCACCAAGCCACAAUUUGGGCUUGCUUUUCCGGAAGAAUUGUUUCAAGUUGAGAAUGCCUGACCUAUAUGCUCCAGUUUGGGGGGGAGUAUUAAAAGUAUGUUUACUGAUUUAAGUUGUAAGGGUACAUGACGCAUAUGUACCAUGGAGGUACCGAUUUACCAAGCUUCUGUUUGGGCCUGCUUUCCAGAAGAAUUGUUUCAAGUUGGGCAUGAGUGACCUAUAUGCUCCAGCUUGAGGCGAAGUGUUAAAGUUUGUUAUUGAUUCAAGUUGUAAGGGUACAUGACACAUAUGUACCAUCGGGGUACACAUGUGUUAUGUGCAAAUUCCCCUUGUAUGAUACUACUUAGUCUUGAGUAUGUUUUAGCUAGUCUUCUAGGCUAUUUAUGCUUCUAUUACAGGUCUGUUUUAGUUUCCUAUUUGUAAUACAACUCUCUAUCAUAUAAUGUGCAAAUGGGUGAGGAUAGCCUACCCGACUCUGUUUUGCUAUUACAAGCAGAGCCUUCUUCUCAUCCAUCGUCUCCCUCUUCUCAAAUUUUUGUUCUUUCUCUUUACAUUAUUGGUUUGCUGGUUUAUUAGGUCUAACUUUUUUACAAGUGGUACCAUAAGCCUGCUUAAUAAAGUGUGUUAAUCACCAAGUUCCAUUCUCUUUCUUCACAUCCAGCCUAUAAUGUUUAUUGUAAACCUUUUAAUAAAAUCUGAGUGUGACCGUUAUCAAUAGCCAACUUGAAGCCUAAGAAAUGGUUAAGAUGCUCUUCCUUGGUAGAGGUAUCAAGAACAAGAACUUGCACCAACAGUGUCUCCUCAACUGGCCAUGAAAGCUAGACCUAUCUGAAAAGGACUGGUGUUGCCAAGAAAAUAACCUUCAAAGUUCAGGUUGAAUACACCUGGAGGAGGGGGGUGGGGGUUGCUAUGCAGGUUUAUAAUCCUAGGUUAGACUUUUAAUCUUCUAACGCUGUAAAUGGGUUGAAGGUUUGGUUAAUACAUACUAAAGGAAAAAAGAAAAUUAAGAGAGUAUUGAUGUGAACUGAUUAUAAUCACACAACAUCCCAAGUCAUGGUAUCGAGCGGAGAUAAAUGUACCUGAUUGGUGUCAUCUUUUGCAUGUCUACAGACAAAGAAUUUAAACUGCUUGGUAAUGGUGAAUAGUUGCUACGGUGAAUUUUUAGGAACCAAGGAACCUCAUAUGGUCGUAAGUUUCAGGGAUAUUUUUCACCCUUUCCAUCUGUAAAGGGAACAACAGGAUCUUGUUAAUGAUCAGCAUGGUGUAGAUUUAAUUUCAGGCAGUUUGAUAAAAAUUCCAAUUGGAACUACUGCACCAUGCGGAGGAUACAUUGUGGGGAGGGAAAAGGGGGUGAAAGCAGCAGCAGCAGCAAGUCUCUCUGCCCCAGGUCCUGGGGUAGACUGGCUCAAUCCCUGAUAAUAUAAUGAAGGAAAUUUUUCAGUGAUUGUUCAUUUCACCCCAAAUGGUUGGAGAAGCAAUAAAGGGAGGUCUUCUUAUUGCUGAAAUCAUGGCAUCGAGAGGAUAUAACAUGCAGCUACUUCCUCGUGUUUCACACCAUAAUACAGUUCAGGUUUCCUUAGACUCUAUCCUGUGUUUAACAUGCUCUGCUAUCAUUACUUUUGUUUUGUUCAUGUGCUAUGAGCUUUCCUUAGCCUUUUAGACUGUUGCACUGGUUAUUGAUCCAAAUAAUUGUAGUGGAUGAAAAUGAGUUCGUGGCUCUGAAUAGCGUUGAAUGGUGAGACAGGAUUCAUGUAGCCAAUUCUAUUUAGUAAGGCCUAGUGGAGCUGAGUUUGUAUGUAAAUGCUUUAUGUUCUUACCAAUAGUGAAUAUGAUUUGUUGCAUCAAAAGGUAGUAUUGGGUGUAAGAUUUGGUCUUAUAAGAAGAUCCUCUGCUUUCUGCGUUUGCAGUUGUUAAGGAAAGCUUCCUCAAUGGCUCAAAUAUCUGCCACAUGGAAGCUCUGUUGGUAAUCAAAUUUUGUAGACGUAUUUACCAUAUCAUUGAAAGUGCAAGGAUGGAGGUCCUAACGUACAAUGCAAUAGAUAUGAGACUUGAAUUGUGAGACAUGGCUGAUCCAAGAAUGCUUCUCAUCCAAUGGAAGGUGUGACCAAAGGAUCCCCCACAUGGUUAAAAAGGAUAGAUAGUCAAGGAAACAGUUCCUUUAUGAUGGGACCUUGUUUUGGUUCUUGACCCUUCAAAAAUUUUAGCAUCUAAGUAGUGCCUACACAGAAUUUUGAUGCAGUUUAAUAUAUCUUAAAUGUUCACUCAAUCAUUCAGCUUCAGGUAACAAUGACUGAACCGAAAAAAUAAGAUGACUGAAUUAAAUAAUUUACUUUAGACUAAAUAUUGAGACUAUAAAUCGAGGAUACAAUGCUGUGAAGUUUCAAUAACAAAUGGGAAUCAAGUAUACUUGGUAGAAGCCUAGAAGGAACCAAACCAGCAUACUUAUCUUCUUUUGGUAAUAAUGACAUUGAUGUUUUGUUAUAUAUUUAUUGCUUUCUUUAGCUCAGUUUUUUGGUAUGGUGAUGAUCCUAGGGCCACUUUUGUUUCAAUAUGAGAUGGUGAAAUAUUUUCUAGAAAUUUAGUUAGUCCGGCUAGAUAAGUCUUAUCAGGUCUGUAAAAAUGUGGAUAUUAUGAAUUGUAGAAGCUUUUUUCCCAGAUAAUGGCAUUCUUAAUUUGUAAACGAUAUGCCAUUUUCACUAAAACUGGGAGUAUAAAAGCUGUUGGAUUCUAAAGCUUUAUCUUUUCCAUAAACUUAAAUGUCAUAUUGCCUAUCUAGGUGUAGUAUAACACUAAUUCUGGAAAUUUUUUUCAAAUUUUUUUUUUCACUAUUUUCAAUAUUUACAUUAGAAUAAUUGGAUUCUAAUU